GUACACUCCUACGGGAGGCAGCAGUGGGGAAUAUUGGACAAUGGGCGCAAGCCUGAUCCAGCCAUGCCGCGUGAGUGAUGAAGGCCCUAGGGUUGUAACGCUCUUUCACCGGUGAAGAUAAUGACGGUAACCGGAGAAGAAGCCCCGGCUAACUUCGUGCCAGCAGCCGCGGUAAUACGAAGGGGGCUAGCGUUGUUCGGAUUUACUGGGCGUAAAGCGCACGUAGGCGGACUAUUAAGUCAGGGGUGAAAUCCCGGGGCUCAACCCCGGAACUGCCUUUGAUACUGGUAGUCUUGAGUUCGAGAGAGGUGAGUGGAAUUCCGAGUGUAGAGGUGAAAUUCGUAGAUAUUCGGAGGAACACCAGUGGCGAAGGCGGCUCACUGGCUCGAUACUGACGCUGAGGUGCGAAAGCGUGGGGAGCAAACAGGAUUAGAAACCCCUGUAGUCCCA
Molecule: ribosomal RNA, 450 nt
Filed under: uncultured organism
Description: partial 16S ribosomal RNA
Rfam family: Bacterial small subunit ribosomal RNA
Source: RNAcentral